Esox lucius (northern pike) is the source of this 3129-nucleotide long non-coding RNA. Lineage: Eukaryota; Metazoa; Chordata; Actinopteri; Esociformes; Esocidae. The record is from Ensembl.
UAGCAAUAGGUUCUGUGCACAAGCCUAUGGACGAUUUUCCGCUUUAGCCAGAUGUCAGCAUAUCAGUUUCCGGUUUACUUAAGGCGGUCACCCGCGUUGCCCAAGAUUUCAGUUUUUAGUAGAUGAGCAUUAGGGAUGUCCAUCGAAUUGUUGAUGCCUGGUCCCCUGCUCCAACAAGCAAGCGGAACAAGGGAUUUAAACUCUACGUAUCAAGUUAUCUGCACAACUACGAGGGUCAGGAUCUUCAGCUAGAUGGUACAGAAAAAAAACACCACAUUGGACCUUGCGAGCCCAGACAGCAGACCAUAAAAAAGGACAACAGAGAAACAACAAGAUCUACAGUAGAACUUCAGGCAGAACCAAAACUCCAGUUGAGGGGAUCAGCAUUGACCAUGAGUCAUCUGACACUAAAUCCAGAUAUCCAUCAUGAUUUCCACCCAGCAGGGCCAAAACUCAAGUCAAAGACAUCAGCAAUCUCCCUGAGUCGUCUCUAAACAGUUCUUUCACCCAACCUCCAAGCUCCAUGUCCUGCCGCUCACUGCCUUCCCUGCUUCACUCCAGAGAUCAGCAGAUUAGCCGAGAUGCAACUUCAACCUCAUCCAGCUCACGACCUCGCAGCUGCCCAUCAUGCUUCUCACUGUCAUCAAUGUGGAAGAGCAGAGAAAUAACCAGAUCUGCAAUAUCAGUUCCUCCUGACCAAACCAAAAAUCUAGUCGAGGAGACCAGCAUUCUCCAUAAGUUAUCUGAAACAUGUAUAACGUGCAAUAACACCCACUGUUUAAAUAGCGUAGUGGUUAAUGACACAGUCUGUCACAGGAAACCACAGAUCAAAUCCAAAAAGGGCAACAACAUUCAUUCCUUCUAAUUGCAGGAAGGAUACUAAAGGUAAUUUUGAGGUAAUUUAAACUCCAACUCCCAACAUGCUCCAAAUUCACCCAAAAGAGUCUUGUUUGUUCGUGCUCCAUUUGUGCUGUUUGUUCCAGUAAAAGUUUUGUUGCUGUUUUAUAUAUUAUACAUGACAUUUUUUGUGAUGACAUCACCAGCCCUCCAACAUGCUAUUAAUUGACUCAAAAUAGAUACUUUUAGUUUACUUUCAUAUCAAGUAUGGAAGUGAAUAGUUAAAGGUGCCCUAUGCAAAUUAAAUCCACCUAUAGGCAGUGAGCUGUAUAUCGGUUCUAUAACUCCAUUAGGAUCUGACAUUGUCAUUAUUAUCUACGAGCAUGCAGACCAGUUUGAAGCAGUAUCACCUCCAACCGUUGAUGCUGAAACAAUGAAGACAGAUUUAAGUUGCAAAUGGGUUUAAAGUUGAUGGGUCCUUUCCAUAACUAUGGAACACAGAAUUAAACAAAGUAAACAGCUAAACCAAUCAUAUGGCAUAUCUAUUGCAUUAGAUGCAUUGUCAUAUUUUAGAGACUCUAAAGUAACCUUUAAUUGCCAUUUUAACCUGUGUGUGUCACCUUGUGUUUCUGUAACAAGGCCAAACAUUGAAGGGUAUGUAAACUUUUGAUCAGGGCCAUUAUUUCUGUUAUCAUUAUGAUUUAAAAAGGAGCCAAACAUUUACGUGAUAAUAAUAGUUUUCCAAAUAUUAUCCAAAAGCUUGGAGAUUAUUGCAAUUAUGAAGUACAAAAUAAAAAGAAGUUGAUGUACCUCAGUAAAGAUUGAAGGGAUCUGGAGCCAUCAUGGAUUAUUAAACCUCUAAAUAAUUUGGGAUAUUGCUUCAGGUGUAAAUACAGAUGUUUAACAGGAUGUACUUAAAUUAUGACAUACUGUAUGAGCUUUUUGGCUUCCGUGGCAAUAAAAAUGACUACACCAAGGCAGGGUAGUCAGAACCAUAGACAUCUUAUUUAAAGGCUAGACGUCUCAAGGCGCAGUCACUUCCGGCAUCACCGGUGGCCAUCUUGUCACAGGCAGGCUUCCUGUCGGGCUCUGUGGUACCUAAUAUAAGGUGAGUGAUCAGCACUAACACAAAUACUCUUAUCUCGCUGAAACCUUGACGGAUUUACAAACAGUUUGGUUUCUUACAAACGUUAUUAACGUGGCUAUAAUUCUGAAUGAUUGAAAAUGUUGAAAUUGCAGCUUUUCUUUUCUAAAAACGUCUAAAUCGUGCAGCAUAGUUGGAUCACGGCUACUUGCGCAAGUUAUCAAGGCAGAUAUCACAAACGAGCUGUUCGAUUAUAGAGGUUUUACUGACACCAAUAAUGAUUUUAUGACAACUAAUCUUUUGUCUAAAUUACAAUAUUUGUGGAUGUGGUUGUAGUUAUUUGCUGGCUAAUAACAAUAAGCUUUGAGUGAAACCUAUGGCAGCUAACGUUACAGUUUCGCUGCUAACCAGCGAAGUUGCACAUGCUUUUCAAUCCGGUUGGUUCCUGUGUUGCUUGAAGGACAGCAAUAUGUCCUGACCUACAGGUUCAGCCAGGACCACUUGGAGCUUCUCUUAAACUCCAUCAGAGUAUCUGCCAGUUCAAGUACAUCUUUAGGAUGUAAAGCUGAUGGCCCAGUGUGGGGGUUGUUAAACCAUGCAGAGGCAAUGUGACGGCACAGGAUGACACAGAGUCCCUACCAGCUGUCAUCGACACCUCUACAAGCCUGUCAGCUGUAGAUGUGUCCUCUGCAGCAGGAGGAGAAGAUCUUCCAUCCCUGUUUGCUGACAUUCCUGCCCUAGUACAUGAUCACAGCUACCUUCCCGUCCACCUUCCCGUCCACUUCGAUGGUCUUGUGGACAACGCUCUCAUGUACAUUUCAGGAUUUGUUGUGUGACAGGCUCUGAAGAAGCUUUCGUGUGAUGUCUGCUGUGCCAGCCUGGUGACAUGCUGCAUCUGCCAUCAAGGACCAGAGCUACCACCUGCUGAAUUUAAAAAACAAUGGAGGUCUGGUGAUUCCAUCAGAGGGAACCGUGAGUGUCGUCAGGGCAGCAGAGUGGGUCAUUCGGCAGUCAUCAGGCAGUACCAGACGAUCACAGCCCAUUAAACUGCUUGAGGUUGUUUACAUUGUCUGAAAAAGGAUCGGUUCAGAGGAUGUUUGUGUUGGGAUAGACAGUAUGGGAUAGACAUCCACCACCAUAGGCUGUUAAAAAUAAUUCUGUCCCUGUUUUUUAAGUUAAGGCUGCACCACAUCGCCAGAAUUACAAUC